GAGGUUCCCAGGCCAGGCGUCAAAUCAGAGCCACAGCUGCCAGCCUACACCACAGUCACAGCAACACAGGAUCCCAACUGUAUCUGCAACCUAUACCACAGCUCAUGGCAAUGCCGGAUCCUUAACCCACUGGGCGAGGCCAGGGAUCAAACCUGAAACUUCAUGGUUCCUACUCAGAUUUGUUUCUGUUGCACCACAACGGGAACUCCUGGUUGGUUGUCUUCUUAUUGUUGAUUUUUGAAAGUUCUUUGCAUAUUUUGGGAUAUCAGUCUUUAUUUGUCCUUUGCAAAUAUUUUCUUUCAGUCUGUGGCUUGUCUUCUCAGUCUCUUGACGGUGUACCUCACAGUGACGAUUUUAAUUUUAAUGAAGUCCAGCUUAUCAGUUAUUUCUUGCAUGGGUCAUGAUUAUGGUGUUGUAUCUAAAAAGUCAUUGCUGGAGUUCCUGCUGUGGCAAUGUGGGUUAAGGGUAUGGUGUUGCUGCAGCUGUGGCGUAGGAUUCAAUCACUGGCCCAGGAACUUCCAAAUGCCACAGGUACAGACAAAAGAAAAAAAAAAAAAGAUCAUGGAGUUCCCAUCAUGGCUCAGUGGUUAAUGAAAGCGACUAGGAACCAUGAGGUUGGGGGUUCAAUCCCUGGCCUCGUUCAGUGGGUUAAGGAUCUGGCAUUGCCAUGAGCAGUGGUCUAGGUCAACAGAUGCAGCUCAGAUCUGGCAUUGCUGUGGCUCUGGUGUAGGCCGGCAGCUACAGCUCCAAUUAGAACCCUAAGACUGGGAACCUCCAUAUGCUGUGGGGGCAGCCCUAUAAAGACAAAAAAGACAAAAAAAAAAAAAAAAGAAAAGAAAAGAAAACAAUGAUGCUUAUAUAAUGGUGAAAAACGUUUGGCAGAAAAUAAGUAUGGUUUUGCAUAUUACUAUUACUGCCAAUUAAUUCUCCAUAAUUUAGGGGAGGUGGGAUAAACUCAUUUUGGAAAAUAUCUCCAAUUUCUAUUAGUGUACGUUAAUUCUACUUCCAUUUUAAUAAAUUGGCAAACUGAAAAUAUCACUCCCAGCUAUCUGUUAGUAAUUCUUAAUUACAAAUUCUGUGCUGCUUAAAAUUUUCCAAAACCUCAGGUCCUAGAUAAAUGUAAGGAUUACCCAAGUGAUUUGAAAUUCAUCAUUCUCGGUAUGUAAGUAGUUCACCUUGUAUCUUGGGGUUAUGCCAGAUCACAACUCCUCUGUUCAGGAAGCAUUAUUAAGCUUUCCUGUUCACUGGAUUUAUUAAAUUGUGCUUUGUUGUUAUACUAAAAAAAUACAUUGAAUUAUACAAUGGUUUGCCAUGGAUGUGGCCCCUAAAAAGAAAAAAAAAAAUACAAUGGCAAACAGCCAUUUUAUUUUGGUUUAUGUAUUUACAGUAAGAAUGUCAUGGUCAUAUUUCUUAAUUACAUAGCUAUUCAAUUGAAAUAAGGAAAUAUUUUAGGUCCUAGUAAAAGUAAGUUUUGCUCCUCCUGAGUAAAUUUAAUUAUUUAUUUAUUUUAUUUUUUGUUUUUACACUCUGGAUCUUGUAAAUCAAUGUGUUUAUUUCUUUUCUAGGGCAGCUAUGGAAUACAAAGCCUGAUCUUGACCUAAAGGUAACAAGUUACAGGAUUUCCUGACGUGUACCUUGAGAGCUAAAUAUUAUUACUAUCUUCAUCUGAGUCUGAUAUUCCCAUCUAUAUUUCCUUUUUGUCUUUCAAACCUCACCUACAAAUUCAUUUAUGUCCUGUUAUUGUUUUCUAAAACUCACAAAAUAAUUUUUGAAGGGAAAAUCUUUAAAAAAAAAAAACCAUAACACCUAUUGCAUUCUACCACCUAUUUAAAAAUUAAAGCUAUCAAAAAACUGUCAUUCAAGUAAUUUCAAAUCUCAUCUGGAAGAGUUUUAAAUGAUAUUUACUGUUUGAACUUUACGUAGAAACAUGAAGAACUAUGUCAAUCACAGAAGUGAUUUAACAGAUCAUUGAUGUAACUCAGCAAAAGUGGCUUCCCAUAUUUUUGAUUUAUGAUCUCUUUGGACUGAGUUACAGUAUAAGGCAGUGAAUACUGAGUGACGAGACUACCUCAAAUUUGAUUAUUGAUCAUAGGUUCUAAUCAAACAUACUCUAAUGCGCCUCUAUUUAGUUACCUUAAUGCAGCACUGUCAAAUAGAAAUAUAGUGUGAGAUACAGAUAUAAUUUUAAUUUUCUAGUAUCCACAUUAAAAUAAGUAGAAGGAAGCAGGCAAAAUUAUGUUUAAUAAUAUAUUUUCUUUAAUACCAUA
This 2267-nucleotide long non-coding RNA is filed under the name Sus scrofa (pig). RNAcentral describes it as "lncRNA (ENSSSCG00030047410.1)". Lineage: Eukaryota; Metazoa; Chordata; Mammalia; Artiodactyla; Suidae. The record is from RNAcentral.